Molecule: small nucleolar RNA, 107 nt
Organism: Hibiscus syriacus
Lineage: Eukaryota; Viridiplantae; Streptophyta; Magnoliopsida; Malvales; Malvaceae
Source: RefSeq, a predicted model, not a curated record
AAUCUGUGUAUUGGGUAUUUGCGUAACAAUUACUUAAAAUGCUCCCAAUCUUCUUACAAACUUUCAUCAUCUAACUGCUUAAAGGAAGUGAGGUCAUUCCUAAGUCU